GUGGUUUCUCUGACCAACACAAAAGUGGGAUGUCCGGCUUUUGCACUUGCCUCUACAAUGAACUUUCCGAUAUAUAUUACAAAAAGGAAGAAGAUGGAAUUUAAGAGAUGAACAGACAACCAUUGGGUUCCAUAGGAAACAUUUAUUCCAUCAGAAGAGAUGACGUAAGCAAAGACUUCAAGCCAUGUUGGUAAGAUACUCAUCUAUACUGGUGAACUUAAACUCCGGAUAGAGCUCACUAGCCUCCACACCAAAUGAAGGUUCGAUUUCAAAGUUUUUUGUACAUCCAUUGAUGAAAACAGCAUGUAGUAUGGACAUUAUAAGCUGUCUUAACCCAAAUGGAGCCUCUGCAGAAACAAACAGUUGAAGUCAAUACAACUAGCCCACGACAUGAUAUACUAUUGAAUUAUUUUGAGCUAAAAUGGUCUUAUUGUGUUUAUUGGUUGAGCUCACCUUGGAUGUUUUUGAGAAGUUGCUCCUCGGAAACAUAUGUUUUCUCAAGGGUCUUUCCAAUUUUGCUUUCCCAAAUGGAACCAAGUUCGUUGAAUGAAACUAUGUUGCCUUUGGGCCUGAAAAACAAUACCUUACCUUGUUCAAGGUACGCGGGUCAUCAAUUGCUUUAAUGGUACAAGAAGCUAUUUCCUCCUCUUUCACAAAAAUGGCUAGAUGGAAUGAUAAAAAGCCGAAAGUUGAUUAGAGGGCUUGCAAUGCCCAUCACAAUUAAGCAUUUGUAUAGUCCAUUUAGCAUUGGCAUGCUAUUUUUUUUUUAUGUAGAGUAUUUAAGAACCGAAGAUUGUACCUUUCUGGUUUCCAUCCCCAAGGAUGGUUAGUUUCUCUUUUGGGGCUGUGUCAGCGUCGAUUUGACAUAGUGUGGGUAAAAAGGAUCCGGCAGGACCAUUAGAUGCUACAAAAGUGUAUGGGAUUCCUGCUACUUCAAUGGCUCUACGGAUAGCUGCUUUUGCCCCAAAGGCGCUCUUUGCCGGCUCCACCGCAGUGACACGGUCGACGUCGGUGGUAAAUUCCGAAGGUAGAAAUCUCUGUUUUAAGUUUUCAAAAUCAUAAACUUAAGAAUUACUUGUAUGUUAAAUACAUAUAAGAUUCCAUUUUUUACCCUUAA
Long non-coding RNA from Erigeron canadensis, 1117 nucleotides. RefSeq lists it as uncharacterized. The transcript is spliced from 2 exons. The record is from RefSeq and is a predicted model, not a curated record. Lineage: Eukaryota; Viridiplantae; Streptophyta; Magnoliopsida; Asterales; Asteraceae.